GACGAACCGUACGAACGUUAUUCGGAAUCAUUGGGCUUAAAGGGUGCGUAGGCGGUGCGGAAAGUUGGGUGUGAAAUCCCUCGGCUCAACCGAGGAAUUGCGCCCAAAACUACAGGGCUUGAGGGAGACAGAGGUGAGCGGAACUGAUGGUGGAGCGGUGAAAUGCGUUGAUAUCAUCAGGAACACCAGUGGCGAAGGCGGCUCACUGGGUCUCUUCUGACGCUGAGGCACGAAAGCUAGGGGAGCAAACGGG
This 253-nucleotide ribosomal RNA is filed under the name uncultured bacterium. RNAcentral describes it as "partial 16S ribosomal RNA". It matches the Rfam family "Bacterial small subunit ribosomal RNA", at positions 524 to 776 of the family's 1533-position model. The record is from RNAcentral.